CAGCAGCCGCGGAAUACAGAGGGUGCAAGCGUUAAUCGGAAUUACUGGGCGUAAAGCGCGCGUAGGUGGUUUGUUAAGUUGGAUGUGAAAUCCCCGGGCUCAACCUGGGAACUGCAUCCAAAACUGGCAAGCUAGAGUAUGGUAGAGGGUGGUGGAAUUUCCUGUGUAGCGGUGAAAUGCGUAGAUAUAGGAAGGAACACCAGUGGCGAAGGCGACCACCUGGACUGAUACUGACACUGAGGUGCGAAAGCGUGGGGAGCAAACAGGAUUAGAUACCCCCGUAGUCCCUGUCUCUUAUACA
This 301-nucleotide ribosomal RNA is filed under the name uncultured bacterium. Its description in RNAcentral is "partial 16S ribosomal RNA". It matches the Rfam family "Bacterial small subunit ribosomal RNA", at positions 509 to 808 of the family's 1533-position model. The record is from RNAcentral.